UCGUCGCAGCCGGAGUAGUACUCGCCGGACUUGGUGGAGACUCAGGAACUAGAGUAGGCAUGCUCGGGGAAGAAGAGCUACCCAUUUCCCCAGCUCCCUCGAAGUGGACGUAGUCGACAGUGAAGUCAUCGUACAUUGGAGGCGAGCUGUCAUCCAUCAUCUUGCCCCACGCCCAACCUCGCCCUUUGUUGAACACAACAUCGCGCGCCGUGCGCACACGCUGUGUCUCCAGGUUGAGGAUGC
RNAcentral lists this long non-coding RNA (243 nucleotides) under Setaria italica (foxtail millet). Its description in RNAcentral is "long non-coding RNA (SITA_LNC002526)". Lineage: Eukaryota; Viridiplantae; Streptophyta; Magnoliopsida; Poales; Poaceae. The record is from RNAcentral.